GGGAGAUAAGGUCUUAUUCUCUUUUGUACCGAAACAUGAAUGAUAAGGGUGGAAACAGCUGUUCCCAACCCUAUUUUUUAAAAAAAAUUUAAAUUUUAAAUUUUAAAUUUUAAAUUUUAAUUUAAUAUUUUAUAUUUUUCAAAUUAAAAAUUAAAAAUUUUAUAUUUUUAAAUUUAAAUUUAAAAUUUAAAUUUUAAAAUUUAAAUUUUAAAAUUUAAAAUUUGGGAGUUUAAUUUUAAAUUUUAAUUUCAAAUUUGAAAUUUAAAAAUUAAAAUUUUAAAUUUAAAAAUUAAAAAUUUAAAUUUAGAAAUUCAAAUUCAAAUAUUAUUUUUCUAUUUAUAAGUACCCACUAUUCUCCUUAUUCCAUCUUAUCUAUCGAAACAUUAUUUUUCUUAUUUUUGGUAACAACUAAAUUUUCAUUCAAAUGUAAAAUUAGUGUAGUUCUUGUUUAUAUCUGAACUUGCAGCGAUCUCUGCGAAAAAUAGUUUUUCCUUAUACCGAACCAAAUAAAUCCUAAGGGCAUGUUUUGUUCACCUAUUUUAAACUAUAGAAUCGGAAUGAGAUUCAUUGAUUACGAUUGUUGUUGUUUGCUUUAUGGGAAGCGGAUUCCGAAUCCCGUUCCACUCUGGAAUAAGAAUGACCAAAUUCAUUUAUGCCCAAUCCAAACUUUGAAUUUCGGAUUGACCCAUUUCAAAGUAAACUAUUAAAAGUAAACUACUAAAAAUCUUUCUUCAUUAAUACCUCCUCCUCUACCUUUGUUCCUUUCUGAUUUCUUAAUUAAAAUUCUCUCUUAAAAAUUCUAAACUUUUAUUCCGAUUUUCAUUCUAAUAAUGAAUCAAAUAUUUUUGAAUGAUUCGUCAUUCUAUUUUCUAUUCCAAAGCAAUCCAAUUUCAUUGCCAUUUCUAUUCCAAUUAUGAACCAAAUAUGUCCUGAAAGCUUAACCUGUUAGAGAAUUAUAAGGACUGAGAUGUUUACAGUGCAACUAAACUCUCCGUUGACGAUGUUUAUGUGUGUAAUUUAAUUACAUAAGCACUCGUCAAGUUUCAGAAGAAAAUGAGCUAAAACAGAGAAGUUACGCGAUUAUUAGUUUUCACUUAAAGUGAAUAGUAACUCCGGUUUUCCGGAGAAGCCACGGAGUAGAGUUGGCUUCCGGCGCGUAUCGGACUCCGUUCAAAGCGAUCCAAUAGCUCGUUUCGAUUGGUUCAGCUAUUCUGGAACCAAUGGCACUGACGGAUUUCCGAUCUGAUGCACGGUUUUCGAGAAAAAGGAGUUUUACCGAAAAGAGGGUUUCCGCUCUUUGCUUUUCUGUGCAUUCUAAAGCUUCUCGUACUCCGUGCUUGUGACCUGGAGUAGGGUGAAGAAUGUUUCGAGUCCCUACUAGUGGUAGGGAAGUCAAUUUCUUAUGCGAAAGUUGGUUUAAUGGGUUUACUCAUUGAUAUUUGUGCGUUAUGUGGAUUAAUUAGAGAGCGGAUGGGUUCCGUUGCGAAUCCGUGACCAUAUCUGACGAAAUAAGAUUGUAGUUUUGAUGCCCCCGAUGUGCUGAACGCAAUGGUGCUGUCGAAUCGAAAAUCCGACGGACGGAUCUCUGGUAAUUGCAAAGUUUUCGUUAAGAGGUCGAAGAUGGCAAUUCGGAAAAUUCGCGAAAGGCGCGACAUUUUAUGUAUCGAAUCGCGUGAGAUCGGACGUGGAGG
Molecule: long non-coding RNA, 1691 nt
Filed under: Ananas comosus (pineapple)
Lineage: Eukaryota; Viridiplantae; Streptophyta; Magnoliopsida; Poales; Bromeliaceae
Description: long non-coding RNA (ACOM_LNC011872)
Source: RNAcentral